Molecule: unclassified non-coding RNA, 350 nt
Filed under: soil metagenome
Description: partial contains 5.8S ribosomal RNA, internal transcribed spacer 2, and large subunit ribosomal RNA
Rfam family: 5.8S ribosomal RNA (bases 1-121)
Source: RNAcentral
GAUGAAGAACGCCAGCGAAAUGCGAUACGUAAUGUGAAUUGCAGAAUUCAGUGAAUCAUCGAGUCUUUGAACGCACAUUGCGCCCCCUGGUAUUCCGGGGGGCAUGCCUGUCCGAGCGUCAUUGCUGCCCUCAAGCACGGCUUGUGUGUUGGGCCUCCGCCCCCCGGCUCCCGGGGGGCGGGCCCGAAAGGCAGCGGCGGCACCGCGUCCGGUCCUCGAGCGUAUGGGGCUUCGUCACCCGCUCCGUAGGCCCGGCCGGCGCCCGCCGGCGACCCCCCUCAAUCUUUCCAGGUUGACCUCGGAUCAGGUAGGGAUACCCGCUGAACUUAAGCAUAUCAAUAAGCGGAGGA